Molecule: ribosomal RNA, 725 nt
Filed under: Lacticaseibacillus rhamnosus
Lineage: Bacteria; Bacillati; Bacillota; Bacilli; Lactobacillales; Lactobacillaceae
Description: bacterial SSU rRNA
Rfam family: Bacterial small subunit ribosomal RNA
Source: RNAcentral
UACAUGCAAGUCGAACGAGUUCUGAUUAUUGAAAGGUGCUUGCAUCUUGAUUUAAUUUUGAACGAGUGGCGGACGGGUGAGUAACACGUGGGUAACCUGCCCUUAAGUGGGGGAUAACAUUUGGAAACAGAUGCUAAUACCGCAUAAAUCCAAGAACCGCAUGGUUCUUGGCUGAAAGAUGGCGUAAGCUAUCGCUUUUGGAUGGACCCGCGGCGUAUUAGCUAGUUGGUGAGGUAACGGCUCACCAAGGCAAUGAUACGUAGCCGAACUGAGAGGUUGAUCGGCCACAUUGGGACUGAGACACGGCCCAAACUCCUACGGGAGGCAGCAGUAGGGAAUCUUCCACAAUGGACGCAAGUCUGAUGGAGCAACGCCGCGUGAGUGAAGAAGGCUUUCGGGUCGUAAAACUCUGUUGUUGGAGAAGAAUGGUCGGCAGAGUAACUGUUGUCGGCGUGACGGUAUCCAACCAGAAAGCCACGGCUAACUACGUGCCAGCAGCCGCGGUAAUACGUAGGUGGCAAGCGUUAUCCGGAUUUAUUGGGCGUAAAGCGAGCGCAGGCGGUUUUUUAAGUCUGAUGUGAAAGCCCUCGGCUUAACCGAGGAAGUGCAUCGGAAACUGGGAAACUUGAGUGCAGAAGAGGACAGUGGAACUCCAUGUGUAGCGGUGAAAUGCGUAGAUAUAUGGAAGAACACCAGUGGCGAAGGCGGCUGUCUGGUCUGUAACU